UGUGGCCCUUAUGAAGCUGCAGCUGCUUCCAUUUAGCAGCUGUGGUCAAAAAGGAGCCCACAGUGACAUUUUUCCUUGAAGGUCCCUGUUCUGUUUGUUGUAACAGUUCUGCAACAUUUCAGAAAAACAUAAUU
Non-coding RNA from Erinaceus europaeus (western European hedgehog), 134 nucleotides. The record is from Rfam. Lineage: Eukaryota; Metazoa; Chordata; Mammalia; Eulipotyphla; Erinaceidae.